This 635-nucleotide long non-coding RNA is filed under the name Fukomys damarensis (Damara mole-rat). RNAcentral describes it as "lncRNA (ENSFDAG00000027151.1)". The record is from RNAcentral. Lineage: Eukaryota; Metazoa; Chordata; Mammalia; Rodentia; Bathyergidae.
GGAGGACGUUGGGAAGGGUGUGAUACAGUAAGCCUAUAGCAGAAUGUCCCAGACCGUGGGACAGCGAGCCUCUGAGCGGCAGUAUGCUUGGAAAAACAUCAGGGAAAGGUGGUUUGGGGCUAGCAUUGGUGGGACUCUGGGAUUUGAAUGACCCUGCACUCACUGUCACACACGCAGUCACCUGCUCUUGGUUGUGGGGCACAGGGAAACAAAAACCAAGCAAUCCCUGCCUUCAAGGAGGUAAUAAUCCCAUUAGUGACUCAGGAUACAAACACCUUGAAAAAAAUGCUUGGAGAAUAAGAAAGAACAAGUGGAAAAUGAGCUGUGAAGAGGACAGAAGAGGGGUCAGGAGAGACUCUCACGGCCUGGCAGCACCUGAGAAGAUAAGAAGGGCAGGUGCUUCUUAUCUUAAGGUGCUGACCUUAAGGACAGCAGGACUCAAUUCAGCUGAACUUCCAGUGACCUCCGAGAGAAAGGCAGUGAGUAGGGCUCAUCAAAACAUCCAGGUCUAAGGAAGCCAUGAUGUUCAGGGACAGCAACGAGGAAAUGAAACCAAAGACUAAGAACUCCUGGAGGCCAUCAAACCCCUGUUUAGCAUCAGCUCUGACAAGAAGGUCUCAAAUUCUUAAGUGCCU